AGCAGCCGCGGUAAUUCCAGCUCCAAUAGCGUAUAUUAAAGUUGCUGCAGUUAAAAAGCUCGUAGUUGAAUUUCGGGACCAUCAUGUUGGUCGUGCCUCGGUACGUACUGGCAUUGUUGGGUUCUCCCUUCUGACGAACCAUGAUGUCAUUUAUUUGGUGUCGUGGGAAAUCAGGACUGUUACUUUGAAAAAAUUAGAGUGUUUAAAGCAGGCUCACGCUUGAAUACAUUAGCAUGGAAUAAUGAAAUAGGACGUUUGAUUCUAUUUUGUUGGUUUCUAGGAUCGACGUAAUGAUUAAUAGGGAUAGUUGGGGGCAUUAGUAUUCAAUUGUCAGAGGUGAAAUUCUUGGAUUUAUUGAAGACUAACUACUGCGAAAGCAUUUGCCAAGGAUGUUUUCAUUAAUCAAGAACGAAAGUUAGGGGAUCGAAGACGAUCAGAUACCGUCGUAGUCUUAACCAUAAACUAUGCCGACUAGGGAUCGGAUGAUGUUAAUUUUUUAAUGACUCAUUCGGCGCCUUAC
This 520-nucleotide unclassified non-coding RNA is filed under the name uncultured Glomus. RNAcentral's name for it is "SSU rRNA". It matches the Rfam family "Eukaryotic small subunit ribosomal RNA", at positions 569 to 1091 of the family's 1831-position model. The record is from RNAcentral. Lineage: Eukaryota; Fungi; Glomeromycota; Glomeromycetes; Glomerales; Glomeraceae.